UAUAUUGUAAUGAAGAAAUAAAUGAAUGGA
This 30-nucleotide non-coding RNA is filed under the name Mus musculus (house mouse). The record is from RNAcentral. RNAcentral also lists the same sequence under 1 other name. Lineage: Eukaryota; Metazoa; Chordata; Mammalia; Rodentia; Muridae.